Molecule: ribosomal RNA, 497 nt
Filed under: uncultured bacterium
Lineage: Bacteria
Description: partial 16S ribosomal RNA
Rfam family: Bacterial small subunit ribosomal RNA
Source: RNAcentral
GAUAAACGCUGGCGGCAUGCCUAAUACAUGCAAGUCGAGCGAACAGAUGAGGAGCUUGCUCCUCUGACGUUAGCGGCGGACGGGUGAGUAACACGUGGAUAACCUACCUAUAAGACUGGGAUAACUUCGGGAAACCGGAGCUAAUACCGGAUAAUAUAUUGAACCGCAUGGUUCAAUAGUGAAAGACGGUUUUGCUGUCACUUAUAGAUGGAUCCGCGCCGCAUUAGCUAGUUGGUAAGGUAACGGCUUACCAAGGCAACGAUGCGUAGCCGACCUGAGAGGGUGAUCGGCCACACUGGAACUGAGACACGGUCCAGACUCCUACGGGAGGCAGCAGUAGGGAAUCUUCCGCAAUGGGCGAAAGCCUGACGGAGCAACGCCGCGUGAGUGAUGAAGGUCUUCGGAUCGUAAAACUCUGUUAUUAGGGAAGAACAAAUGUGUAAGUAACUAUGCACGUCUUGACGGUACCUAAUCAGAAAGCCACGGCUAACUACGUG